RNAcentral lists this ribosomal RNA (266 nucleotides) under uncultured bacterium. RNAcentral describes it as "partial 16S ribosomal RNA". It matches the Rfam family "Bacterial small subunit ribosomal RNA", at positions 793 to 1055 of the family's 1533-position model. The record is from RNAcentral.
GUCCACGCCGUAAACGAUGAAUGCUAGCCGUUGGCGGGCUUGCCCGUCAGUGGCGCAGCUAACGCUUUAAGCAUUCCGCCUGGGGAGUACGGUCGCAAGAUUAAAACUCAAAGGAAUUGACGGGGGCCCGCACAAGCGGUGGAGCAUGUGGUUCAAUUCGAAGCAACGCGCAGAACCUUACCAGCCCUUGACAUCCCGGUCGCGGGUUCCAGAGAUGGGACCCUUCAGUUCGGCUGGACCGGAGACAGGUGCUGCAUGGCUGUCGU